This 21-nucleotide transfer RNA is filed under the name Sphyrna mokarran (great hammerhead). RNAcentral describes it as "partial tRNA-Leu". The record is from RNAcentral. Lineage: Eukaryota; Metazoa; Chordata; Chondrichthyes; Carcharhiniformes; Carcharhinidae.
GCCCUUGAAAGAUAACAGAAA